UCGACGGCAGCCAGCAGAGCUUGCUCUGUGGGUGGCGAGUGGCGGACGGGUGAGUAAUGCAUCGGGACCUACCCAGACGUGGGGGAUAACCUCGGGAAACCGGGACUAAUACCGCAUACGUCCUACGGGAGAAAGCGGGGGACCUUCGGGCCUCGCGCGGCAGGACGAACCGAUGUGCGAUUAGCUAGUUGGCGGGGUAACGGCCCACCAAGGCGACGAUCGCUAGCUGGUCUGAGAGGAUGAUCAGCCACACUGGGACUGAAACACGGCCCAGACUCCUACGGGAGGCAGCAGUGGGGAAUAUUGGACAAUGGGCGCAAGCCUGAUCCAGCAAUGCCGCGUGUGUGAAGAAGGCCUUCGGGUUGUAAAGCACUUUUAUCAGGAGCGAAAUACCACGGGUUAAUACCCUAUGGGGCUGACGGUACCUGAGGAAUAAGCACCGGCUAACUUCGUGCCAGCAGCCGCGGUAAUACGAAGGGUGCAAGCGUUAAUCGGAAUUACUGGGCGUAAAGGGUGCGUAGGCGGUUGUUUAAGUCUGUCGUGAAAUCCCCGGGCUCAACCUGGGAAUGGCGAUGGAUACUGGGCAGCUAGAGUGUGUCAGAGGAUGGUGGAAUUCCCGGUGUAGCGGUGAAAUGCGUAGAGAUCGGGAGGAACAUCAGUGGCGAAGGCGGCCAUCUGGGACAACACUGACGCUGAAGCACGAAAGCGUGGGGAGCAAACAGGAUUAGAUACCCUGGUAGUCCACGCCCUACACGAUGCGAACUGGAUGUUGGUCUCAACUC
Molecule: ribosomal RNA, 782 nt
Filed under: uncultured bacterium
Lineage: Bacteria
Description: bacterial SSU rRNA
Rfam family: Bacterial small subunit ribosomal RNA
Source: RNAcentral